UUUCUCACACUAAACGACCCCUUGCUCUAUACACUAUUCUUUCACUUCUUUUUUUCAAGCCAUCGCCCCCUCUCUCUCUCUCUCCCUUUAGGGUUUUUUUGAUCUCCCAUCCAAAGUUGUCUCUUCCAUAUAUAAAAUUCAUCCUUUUUAGCCAUUCCAAACAAUUUAAUUCAAAAUAAUAUAUCAAAAACUCAAUAGACAUCACCUUCUUUGCUUUACAGUAUUCAUCAGUAUGAUUAACUACUGAUUAGAUGUCACAAUGAGGAUUUUUUGGAUUUUCAUGAGUGAAUCGCCUUGAUAGCUUCUUAGUUAUCGCUAUUGUGUAAAUCAGAGCAGCAAAUUACCUGAUCGGCUGAUUGAAGAAAAGAUUUGGAAAUUUUUGUUCUGUGAAAUCGAUAGAAGUGACUGGAGAUAAAAGGAAUUAAUAUGGCUUCUACAGUUCCAGCCAAGUCUAAUAACCCACUUCAUAACUUUGCUUUACCCCACUUGAAAUGGAAGAAGAAUCAUCAUUCCAAUAACCACCAGCGCCGCCGUUCCAAAAAGCUUUCUUCCGAUUCUUCGUCGCCGUCUCGGCACGAUUCACCGCUGCGCCAGUCACAGUCUCAGUCUCCAAUGCGUGAAUCCCUUGCGGCGUCGCGUCACUCUCCUAUGCGCGAUUCUGUUGCAGCCGUUCGUCAGUCUCCGAUGCAUGAAUCAGUUGCGGCAUCUCGACGGUCUCCGAUGCCUGAAUUCGUUGGGGCGGCUCGCCGAUCUCCGAUGCGUGAAUCCAUCACGGCGUUUCUCCAGUCUUCCAUGCGUGACCCUGUGUCAUCACGUCAAUCUCCGAUGCGGGAAUCUGUGCCGUCGCGUCACUCUCCAAUGUACGGCGUAUCUGUUCAUGAAUCGGACAAGGACAGGAGUGUUAUCGAGUAUAGACAUUCACGAAUAUCAGCACCUGAGAGUACGAAGAAAGGGAUCUGUGAGAAAUCAGAUAAGAAGCACAAUAAAGUAGUAGAGACUGAUGCGCCUGGGAAUAAAGAAGGCAGAUCGAAAAUCUUGCUCAGAAUCCCGAGGAAAAACAAGGCCGAGGAAAUCCAUGAAGGGGGGCAAAAGGGUGAUGAAUCUCAAGAGGAGGGAAAAGGGGUUACUGUUAGUGCUGAUGAUGAAGCUGCUGAAGAAUCAGCACCAAAGACGUGGAAUCUGAGACCCAGAAAACCUAUACACAAAUCAUUGAAUCUGAAUGGAGGUCCAUUUCGAGCCAGUGGAUCGGUGAUGCUGGAGACCAAAUCUCAAUCGCCUCUCAUAAAUGUGAAUAAGCCAGGAAAUAAUGAAUCAAACGCUGCUCAGAAGAAGGAAAAAAGGCAUAGGUUCUCAAUAGCCCUUACUAGAGAAGAAAUUGAUGAAGAUAUAUAUUCUAUGACUGGAUCAAAGGCUGCUAGAAGACCUAAGAAGAGAGUAAAGGCUGUUCAGAAACAACUUGAUACCCUCUUCCCUGGUUUAUGGCUAGCUUCAAUAACUCCUGAUUCGUAUAAAGUUUGCGAAAAUCUUCCAAAGGGUUAAAAGGAAUCCUUCAAAGGUGGUUGUCCUUCGAAUGUCCUUAGUUUUUGUGGAAGUUUGAAGUUGAUGGCUUCAAAAUUUUAUUAUUGCAUUGGAGGAAUGAUAUUUUAACUCUUAAACGAUGAACUGUUAAAAAUUGUUAUCCAACACAAUUCUCUUCUGGGAGGCUAAGCGGACGAGCUACUCAUCAUCAUCCAUCCCACUGAGUAACAACUAGGUCAGUGGGAUGUAAUAUAUCAUAUUCGAACAUGUAAUUCGUUUUGAAUAUACAAAAGCGAAAAGGUUCUGUUACUUCGUAAACUGCUACAUAUUUGAACUUUACAACUAACCCAUGGUUUUAGGCGGCCUUACAGUGACCUGGCUUGGUUAAGUGGAUAAAUUAUGAAGGUGAAGAACAUCAUCCAGGUUCCAACUUUGUGUAUUUUCUCAUGAUAAGAGUUUUACCUUCUCAUCAUUGACUAUAAUUUCUUUCCCUGCUUCCUGAUCAUAGGCAGGGAACCUGUACGUUGGUGUUGCAACAUACCGUGUGAUUGUGUGAUUGCAGAUUUAGGUGCUCUCCGUCUGCUCUGUGCAUCUGUGUGAUGGGGUAGGUCUAGUCUGGUAUUCCACUGUUUCUGGAUUUUCUGUUUAGUUUGUUAUCAUGAACUCAACCUUAUUUUGGUAUUAUUAUUAUACUAGUGAUAAUGGCCGCGCUUGCGCAGUUAGAAAUAACAUUAGUAAAUUUAUAUUAAUAGAUAUUGUUGCAAAUUAUUAUAAAGAAAAUGAUAUAUUUUUAUUACACACUAGUGAUAAUUAAUUGGAUAUAGUUAAUUGAAUAUAAAUUCUUACUUGAGUUUAUAUGUA
This is an RNA transcript of Capsicum annuum, 2379 nucleotides long. RefSeq lists it as uncharacterized. The record is from RefSeq and is a predicted model, not a curated record. Lineage: Eukaryota; Viridiplantae; Streptophyta; Magnoliopsida; Solanales; Solanaceae. The transcript has 4 exons.